GAUUUUUCAAUGUAGUACCUGCGUUCAGGGUAGUUAGUCAAUUCGUUUUUAGUAUUCAAUAGGAUUCAGUUCGUGUAGGUUUCCAAAUUUCACUAGUUGUACAAAAAAACACAGAUUCAAAAAAGGAAUACAUUUUUUUUUCUUUUUAUUUUCUAUGGCUUUUACACAUCAUGGACUUCCCGGUUAAUAUAAUGUAUGCUAACCCCAUUUACACGCAAAAUUUUUUCGGAGUUCAUCAAAACCAAAUUUAUCUACAUCCAAAUUAUUUAAACAGCUCGGCUAGUGCUUUCGGUUCUUUUGGCGACAUAUAUAGGUUCGAGGAUGGCAGCGGAGAUGCGCGUGGUCCAUUGUUAUUGGGCAGAAGCAGCUACUGUGGAUUCGGCAGAGUUCAAGCUCAAGGGCUAGACCAGAACGAAACUUAAGAAGGCGGCGUUGGUGGACAUCGUGACGUGGGUAGACGCCACAGUGUGACCACAAUGGCAACGGCCACAACCAUGGCGGCAUCUUCAACCAUGAUAUUGAGCUCGAGGUCAAGUCGUUUCGGGUUAGCCGAAAUGAACAGAAAUGUGGUUCAGCCAUGGAUGGAUAUUGGUGAACAGCGACAAUAACAAUAUCAUCGACAACAGACUGGCAUAUCCAUGAGCUUCAGUAUGUUAUUGGCCAAGAGUUUGACAGAGGAAGCGACAAGUAUGAAUCCAAAUAUAUUACCGUCCGUUGAUGGUGUCCCGUUCAUUAUGCUCGGGCAAGAGCGAUUCGAACUGGAACCAGACACGAUCUUUGUGCUAUGCAAGCGUCUGAGUGUGACGAAAAUUGAUAUUCUCAUGUUCUUUAGUUCCGUGGGAAUAAUCGCUGUCGACCAUGCGAGUAAACCAAGGAUUUUUGUGUACAAAAAUAAGCAAAAUGGACGAUCAAAGGGUGAGGCGACCAUUAAAUAUAUAAGUCCGUUCAUGGCGGAAAUGGCCAUUAGAUGCCUGAAUGGCAGCAAAUUUAAGGGAGAAAUUAUAACGGUUUUACCGGCAUAUCUAUCAACGCGCAAGGGUCGUGCGAUAUAGAUAUCCUCGAGAGUUUGCUCCAUCGAACAAUCGGGAACACCAACAGGAUCGGCAGCAGCAGAAUCGUCAACGUCGACUCCGUAAAUGGAGACCGGCUCGUGACAAUUGGUAUUGCAUGUCCUGCCGCAACAGCAAUUUUGUUUAGCGCUCCAAUUGCAAUCGUUGCAAGGCCAGCAAAUCGGAGUAUGCAGCCGAACCCCUUUUCAGUGGUUCACCAUCUUUCAUGAGGGCGGCUCGCCGUUGGCGCAUUCAUAAGACCGACUGGGAAUGCUGCUACUGUUUCAAUAAGAAUUUCUGGUAUCGUCAGAGAUGUAAUCGUUUUCAUGCUCCCAAGGCAGUUGAUACGCCAAAACCCGUCACCCCACCCCGAUCGGACAAAUUGGGAAUUGAAGCUUGGCAGUGAUUAGGGAGGGUCCAAUACACUGAGUGUAUUCAAAAUUUACAAGUGUUAUAUGCAAGACAUAGUUAUCAAGUAUCAAUGCAGAUUGGCUACGGUUUGGCGUUCUCACAGGCAAGCCAAAUCCGUAUGCAUCAAGAAUGGAAAGAAUAUCCAAAUUGUGAAGUGAAUCCAUUUACAAUAAAUGAUUUCAUAUAUUCACACUAAUAACUUUCCAAACAGAAUAAAUGUAUAAAGGGAGUAUUACCUCUCAAGUUAGUAACUUGGACCUUGUGUAAAUAGUUAAACCUCCAAAUCAUAGAAACAUUUCAUAAAUUGCAGACUAAUGUGGCCGACAUGGCCAAGUUUCAAGGAUAGUUGCAGGUUGUGCAUUAAUUAGUGAAGUGAAAGUGCUUUAUAAUGUGGUCAAUGCCUCGCACAGCAGAGAUUUUGGUUUAAAUGAAGGAUGCCAAACAUUUAGUAGAGAUUCAUAAGUGUUCUAAGUUCUUCUGCACUUAUUAAUUUCUGAGAAUCAAUAUCACUUUGUUAACUGCAGUCAGUGGCCCUGUGGCCAACCACUUGAAUCUGUCCAACACAAACCGCUGGCAGCAUGAACCUUUCUUAUACCCCCCACUCCCCCCUUUUCGCUUCUUGGUAAACUUGCUCAGUUUGUUGUGUGAUUUAAUCAAAGUUUGCAGUAGGAGCCAAAUCUUGCCCUAGCUAGCGAGUUGUGCAUUUGCCUGGCACACCCGCACCUUCACUUGCAGAUGUGGCUGAAAAGGGAAAAGGGAAAGGGAAUGAGAGUUUGUAGCUGUUGUGAAUUUACUUUGAAUUUUCUUCCACACGGCCGAAGUUGGCAGCUGCUGCUGGAUGGACUUGGUCUUGAAAGUCGGCUCUUGUUCUCGCCUGCAGGAUAUUUGCGUAGCUGUACCUGCAGUUAGCCGCAGCCCUCCUGUCCGCAUCUCAGCUUUUUGUGUGUGUCUGUGUGUGUGUGCAACAGUGUCACACUUCAAUGCCUUCAACCCACCACUCCCUUCAUCGGUGCCAUCUGCUGGGGAUGCCGCUUUAAUUGCCAGCAGGAGAGUGAAAUGCAAUAAACACCAUUAGCCAGAACGACUGCGCUCCAUGACCGAGUCCAGGACCAGGACGAAGGUCUUACGUCUAUACCAAAGUGUAACAGAAGAAAGCCAGGUCAACCAUCCAGGUAGAAUGGGAGGCACAGGCACCGGCAAGACAACAAAAAGCAGCAACAAAAUGCGAAAGUAAAGCGAAAAUCAACUUAACUGAAUUGAAUGAAAAAGUUUUAAACUGCGAGUGCCAUAAACACUGAAUGCUGUUCAGUUCAAUAUCUUCUUGUCCAACAAUGAGAACAAACCAAAGCGGGGGGAGAUGGGAAUGCGAUGCAUUCAUGGGUGUAGCAAAGGAACUGGGGUCUGAAGACUUGGACUAAAUAACUUGUUUUCUGAUACCAAAGUUGAGCUAUUACUGAAGGUUCAUUGGUUAGCUGUCCUAGCACUCCUAGCAGUGUUACUCCUAGAAAGCCUGUAGGUCGUAAAAACCAUUCAGAAUAUCAAGUCUCAGAGAUGGAACUUGAGUUCAAAUCAAAUAUGUAUUUGACCCCAGAAAAGUGUCAACAGUUGGCUGAGAAGUUGCAUCUAACUGAUCGUCAGCUCAAGGCCUGGUUUUCAAACCGUCGUACAAAGGUUAGAAAACUUUCCAUGGCUCAGGAAGGACCCAUAAAAUAGGAUGCGUUUCAAAUCUCCGACAACGCCCGUGGCUAAAAAUGGCCGAGCAUAUAAGAUGCAGGUCAGAAAUCAGUUGGGGCCAUUUGAAACUCCGGUUUGCCUUCAAAUUCAACAAAUACAUACAUAUAUAGUUUUACAUGA
Molecule: long non-coding RNA, 3314 nt
Organism: Drosophila willistoni
Lineage: Eukaryota; Metazoa; Arthropoda; Insecta; Diptera; Drosophilidae
Exons: 4
Source: RefSeq, a predicted model, not a curated record